CGCACUAGUCGGGGAGUUAGCGGUGCCUUGUAACCUGCAAUCCGCUACAGCAGGGAUGAAUUCCCACCUGAGGAGCGACCUGUAUUGUCUGACCUAUACAAGCGGUGAUGAGGAAUCGGUCCCGCGCAACGGAAUCCCGUGAACCAUGUCAGGCGGGGAACCGAGCAGCAUUAAGCGGAUCCUUUCGUGUGCCGCGGGUUCGCCGCUUCCGAGCUGGCUGUAUAGGUAACGGAUAUGGUCUCGUGUUCAACGGUGGGUGUGC
Molecule: signal recognition particle RNA, 262 nt
Filed under: human gut metagenome
Description: Bacterial large signal recognition particle RNA
Rfam family: Bacterial large signal recognition particle RNA
About the family: The signal recognition particle (SRP) is a universally conserved ribonucleoprotein involved in the co-translational targeting of proteins to membranes.
Source: RNAcentral